GCACCGGCCAAUGGCACCGCCCCGUCCGCCCCGCUCUGGGAACGCCGCUCCAGCAGAUGUGACAUAGACUGGAAGUGAUGGACCCAGACAACAAUCAGAACCAAAGCACCAGAUGAGCCACCUCAGCCACGUGAGCCAUGCCAGCCACCCUACCUGUGACCCCAUCUGUGGCCCCAGUUAUCAUGGAGUAGAGCCCUUUCUCUGUCUACAAAACCAACUUCCUCGCCCAGCUCAUGGGAACACUUAUUCUGUUGUAUAGAAUGAAGUGUUGCUUGAUUCUAGAAUCUCUUAGGAACCUAUUCUGGUAACGUGAGCGAUGGGAGUGCACCGGAGUGUGUGAGUUUGCCGGUGGAUUUGCAGAGGGCUGGCGAGCCAGGCCUGGAGCUGGCAGGCGUGAGGGGCUCCCUGGAAAAGACGAACCCAUCUCCCCCACUUCGCUGUGUCACACCAGGUGUCCACUAGAGUUGCCAACUGUGACAGUGUCCGGAGGUUCUCUGGCUGGGGCUCUGAAAGAGACUGACAAAGGCAGAUUAACGAGAGAAAAACAGACACGAGUUUAUUACCACGUGCAUCACGCACACCCAUGGGAACGUCCGCACUUUGUCCCAGGAAUGGGGUCUGUAAUUCAGGGACCUGUAGAAGUUCACAGUGUGAGAGGAAUGAAGUGUCCAAUCUGCAAUCUGAAUCUUCCCUAUGAAAUUUCCACCUGGUGCCCUCCAGCGCAGAUUCUCGCACCCACAGUCCUGCCUUACAGGGCAGACCAUUUCCUCUCUGACAGUACUACCUGUCUGAAUGUUCUGCUUCAAACUGAGUCAAGAUAUGUGAACCCUGGGUAGAAGAAUUAUCAGGUCUGGAGGGAGCACAAGCAAACUAUCCCAUUUUAUGGACGUGGAAACCGAGGCCUGAGGGAGAGACGCACCAGGAAUCAGGAGAUCUGGCUCUGAUCAGCUGUACAAAUUGAGAAUUGUGACCUGACCUUGUCCAACCCAAGUGGCCCAACUCCUAAUUCUGUGAGUGACAUGUCUCUGUUACUUUGGAAUAUUGAUUGAAGAAAAAUCACAAGAGUUUCUAUCUUAUGGCCUCUUUGAAUCUUUGAGAAUUGGCAAAACCCAAAGUCAGAUGCCAUUAAGAACAUUCAUGAUUCAUGAGAGGAGAUCAAAAUAUCAACAUAAACAGGAGUUUGAAAGAAGUUGAUUUCAACCCUUGUGGAUGACUAUGAGAGAUUCAAGGCUUCAGUGGAGAAUGCACCUACAGAUAUGGUGGAAACAGCAAAAGAAAUAGAAUCAGAAGUGGAGCCUGAAGAUUAAACUGAAUUGCUGCAAUCUCAUGAUAAAACUUGAACAGAUGAGGAGUUGCUUCUUACAGGUCUGUGGAUCAACACUGUCUCCCUGGCCUCUACCCAGCGCGCAGGACCCCUUAGCAGAGCAGGAGAACUCAGGAUCCAGCCAGCUGCCGGCACACUUUCGUCCUCCUCCGCACACGAGGAUCCCCAGGCCCAGCGGUGUUAGCCCAGAGAGGAGCGGCGUUUGGGAUGUGAUCCACAGCUGAUCCCUCGUGGCCCCUCCUCUCCCGAAUCCUGAAACAUGAGGAGGCCCUUCAGCUGCUGGCUCGGAGUCCGACUAUGGGAACUUUCUCCGGUCUACGGGGGCAGCAAGGGUCUCGCCUCAGGGACUUGGUUUAUUUAUCUAGCUGGACUCCAUCCCUUAAUAUCCUACUUACAGAGGAAGAGGCUUUAGCAGCUAAAUGCAGCCCCAUCCCCUCCUGUGGAGACUGUGAGCAGAAAAAGAACAGAUAUUUACAGAGGCCCGAGCCCCCCUUGUUGUUUUCUGCAAGGCUGUCGAGCUGGUGGAGCUUCAGGAUCCUGGUCAGGAACCCCGAACCCAGCGCUGGAGGCCCUGAAGAUCAGGGCACCCGACCCUCUUCCCAGCCGCCAAAGGCCUGUGUUGGUCUGAUUGUGGAUUCCAAGCUCUAAUUUCCAUCCAUCCUCCCAAUCCGAAUUCCCUUUGCAGACAUAAACACCAUCAGCAAUGUAGAGAAUGUGUUUCCUCAUCUUUGAAUAUUAACACUCAUCUGUUUAAUUGAGCUACUUUUUACAUACAUGUAAGAUGUGCUGCAAUUGCAAAAGAAACAUGUGCUUCGUGUUCUAUAAGCCAUAUCUUCCGCAAGACCUGCCAUCAAAUGAUUGCUCAAACAUUUGUUGAAUGGGAUGAGCAAUGGAGGUUCAGACAGGUGCCCUGACCUACCCAGGCUGGAGGGUAGGGAGCUAGAAAUUCAUACAACCAUGCCUUGUUCUACUUGUUUUGUGAAAGAAUCAUGUGACCAGUGACAAAGAGGCUGGGCAGCUGGGUCAGGCAGCAGGGACAGCGACUGAGCUGGGGGGACUACAGUGCUGUGCUCCUCUGCACCCGUGCUGGGAUGUCUGAGGCCAAGCUGACACUGGCCCCCCACAAUCCCUUGGGGCUGCUCCUCCUCAGGGAGUGGCUCUCCGGGUUUCCUGCUUGACUCCUGCUGCUCUUGUGUUGAAGGGCCGUCUCUGGGCAGCUCCCCCUGGCCCCUGGCCAGAGAGCCAGGCCCUGUCAGGCACGCACAUGGAGGAUGAGGGAGGUGCAGUUGUUUUCACAGGUGCAGACUCUAGAGGGACCCCACGUGGACUCUGUGGCUUCUGCCCCGACGCACUCGCGGGAGGACACAGCUCUGCCCGGAAGGGAGAGUGCUGAGCUGGGUCCCUGCUGCUCAUCUCUGUGGCAUCACCCUGUCAGUCCUUCCCUGUCACACAUAUGUUCCGCAAGACCUGCCGUCAAAUAUUUGCUCAGUCAAACAUUUGUUGAAUGGGAUGAGCCAUGGAGGUUCAGACAGAUGCCGUGACCUGAAGUGUCAAAUGAAGGGAUGCGUGUGUGAUGGCCUUCACCAUUUAUAUUGUUUUAAACUUGCUAAGCACUAGUUAAAAUAAAA
This is a long non-coding RNA of Homo sapiens (human), 2952 nucleotides long. Ensembl annotates it as TMEM72 antisense RNA 1. Its record names the gene TMEM72-AS1. Lineage: Eukaryota; Metazoa; Chordata; Mammalia; Primates; Hominidae. The record is from Ensembl.